GCGCGAAAACUUUGCAAUGCGGGAAACCGUGACAGGGGAACUCCGAGUGCCCGUAAAAUCGGGCUGUCCAUCAGUUUAAAUAACUGGUGAAGAAAGGGCCGGGCAAGACCGGUGCCAGCCGCCGCGGUAAUACCGGCGGCUCGAGUGGUGGCCACUAUUACUGGGCUUAAAGCGUUCGUAGCUGGUCUGUUAAGUCUCUGGGGAAAUCUUCCGGCUUAACCGGAAGGCGUCUCAGGGAUACUGGCAGACUAGGGACCGGAAGAGGUGAGAGGUACUUCAGGGGUAGGAGUGAAAUCCUGUAAUCCUUGAGGGACCACCUGUGGCGAAGGCGCCUAACUGGAACGGACCUGACGGUGAGUAACGAAAGCCAGGGGCGCGAACC
RNAcentral lists this ribosomal RNA (382 nucleotides) under uncultured prokaryote. RNAcentral's name for it is "bacterial SSU rRNA". It matches the Rfam family "Archaeal small subunit ribosomal RNA", at positions 339 to 725 of the family's 1478-position model. The record is from RNAcentral.